RNAcentral lists this ribosomal RNA (524 nucleotides) under uncultured bacterium. RNAcentral describes it as "partial 16S ribosomal RNA". It matches the Rfam family "Bacterial small subunit ribosomal RNA", at positions 28 to 523 of the family's 1533-position model. The record is from RNAcentral.
GACGAACGCUGGCGGCGUGCUUAACACAUGCAAGUCGAACGAGACGAUUGAAAGCUUGCUUUCGAAAGUCGAGUGGCAAACGGGUGAGUAACGCGUAGACAACCUGCCUUUGAGAUGGGGACAACAGUUCGAAAGGACUGCUAAUACCGAAUGUUGUAUAUUUUCCACAUGGAAGAUAUAUUAAAGAUGGCCUCUAUUUAUAAGCUAUCGCUCAAAGAUGGGUCUGCGUCUGAUUAGCUAGUUGGUGGGGUAACGGCCUACCAAGGCGACGAUCAGUAGCCGGUCUGAGAGGAUGAACGGCCACAUUGGGACUGAGACACGGCCCAGACUCCUACGGGAGGCAGCAGUGGGGAAUCUUCCACAGUGGACGAAAGUCUGAUGGAGCAACGCCGCGUGAGUGAAGAAGGGUUUCGGCUCGUAAAGCUCUGUUGUCGGGGACGAAUGUGCAUUACUUGAAUAAAGUAGUGUAAUGACGGUACCUGACGAGGAAGCCACGGCUAACUACGUGCCAGCAGCCGCGGUAA